Arachis ipaensis is the source of this 470-nucleotide non-coding RNA. The record is from RefSeq and is a predicted model, not a curated record. Lineage: Eukaryota; Viridiplantae; Streptophyta; Magnoliopsida; Fabales; Fabaceae.
AAAAAAGAAAAGAAAAAUGACCAAAAGGAUGAUAAAUAGAUAAUUUUGGAUGAAUGUUUUACCACUAACUGAUAAUGAGGACCAUAAGAGUUUAAGAUAUCAGUUGUAACUUGUAAUGUGGAAUUUGUUUAAACUGGAAUUCAGUUUAGCCUGUAGUACCUUGUGUUGAUGUUUUACGGAUGUGAUAUAAUUUUUAUAUCUAGUUAAUUAAAUAUCAUGGAAUAAACACUAUCUUUUUGAGUAAUAUCUCUUGAUAUUGCAGUGAAUGGUCUGGGUGGUGUGACUUGGUGCCAAUAUCUGCUUGCAGUGUUGGGUAUUUUCACCAUAGUUACUAUGUGGGCAGUUGUGGUAACUGAAAGUUGCAGGAAAGUAAAUCUUCAGUACUAUGGUUUCAAACUUGCUUCUGCUGCAAGGGAGCAAUCACCAAUUACUGAAGUCGAACCGUAUAUUCCUUUCAAUAUUAAUCCAUC